AUGAUAUUCAGUUGACAUUCAAGUUCUAACUUGAAGACAGAGGAUUACUUUAAAAAAACUAGUCACAAGUACUUAUGUGGUAUAUUUAUUAUACAGAAAAUAUUAUUGAAACGCGAUUCAUGCGAAGACAUCGUAACAUAUUUGAAAUAAAAUAUACUGUGUUUUGUUUGGUUUCUUAUUAAAUAUAAAAUGAACUCAGUUUAACGGUGGAGCCUAACCAAGUUCUUAUAAAUCAAGAUUAAAGGUAUUAGUCUGGCCCCAUCCGUUGAGGGCCUAAGAGGCAACAUACGCAUGAACUAUCUCACGGACCUCCUUGUGCUUAGUGGUGACCAAAGCGCGUAGACGUCAAAACAUUAAUGCAGUCCCCACGCCUACAGGCUUGAGGUGCCGGUCUGCUUGGCGUCCAUGGCGGCGUGUCGCUUCUCGGACAUGGAGCGGCGCCCCACGGCGUCCCGACUGAAGCCCGCCGCGGCUCCGCACUCGCUGCCGGACUCGCCGCCGCCGCUGCCCCUGCACGCACAACACAUAUAGAUAAAUUAAAGCACUAUCUAAUCACAAACUUAACUAAACAUAGGCUAUUUAUUUCCUAAUAUACAUACUCAUAAUCCAUAUAUUAAUACGUGAAGCAAAAA
This is a long non-coding RNA of Bombyx mori (domestic silkworm), 632 nucleotides long. RefSeq lists it as uncharacterized. The record is from RefSeq and is a predicted model, not a curated record. Lineage: Eukaryota; Metazoa; Arthropoda; Insecta; Lepidoptera; Bombycidae. The transcript is spliced from 3 exons.